RNAcentral lists this ribosomal RNA (418 nucleotides) under uncultured bacterium. Its description in RNAcentral is "bacterial SSU rRNA". It matches the Rfam family "Bacterial small subunit ribosomal RNA", at positions 355 to 787 of the family's 1533-position model. The record is from RNAcentral.
UGGGGAAUAUUGCACAAUGGGGGAAACCCUGAUGCAGCGACGCCGCGUGAAGGAAGAAGUAUCUCGGUAUGUAAACUUCUAUCAGCAGGGAAGAAAAUGACGGUACCUGACUAAGAAGCCCCGGCUAACUACGUGCCAGCAGCCGCGGUAAUACGUAGGGGGCAAGCGUUAUCCGGAUUUACUGGGUGUAAAGGGAGCGUAGACGGAGCAGCAAGUCUGAUGUGAAAGGCAGGGGCUCAACCCCUGGACUGCAUUGGAAACUGUUGGUCUUGAGUACCGGAGGGGUAAGCGGAAUUCCUAGUGUAGCGGUGAAAAUGCGUAGAUAUUAGGAGGAACACCAGUUGCGAAGGUGGCUCUCUGGACUGUAACUGACACUGAGGCACGAAAAGCGUGGGGAGCAAAACAGGAUUAGAUACCC